UACAGAGGGUGCGAGCGUUAAUCGGAAUUACUGGGCGUAAAGCGUGCGCAGACGGUUGCGUAAGUCGGAUGUGAAAUCCCCGGGCUCAACCUGGGAAUUGCAUUCGAGACUGCGUAGCUGGGGUGCGGAAGAGGGAAGCGGAAUUUCCGGUGUAGCGGUGAAAUGCGUAGAUAUCGGAAGGAACAUCAGUGGCGAAAGCGGCUUCCUGGUCCAGCACCGACGUUCAGGCACGAAAGCGUGGGGAGCAAACAGG
Molecule: ribosomal RNA, 253 nt
Filed under: uncultured bacterium
Lineage: Bacteria
Description: partial 16S ribosomal RNA
Rfam family: Bacterial small subunit ribosomal RNA
Source: RNAcentral